AGGCGGGUAGCUCAGCGGCAGAGCGGGUGCCUUACAAGCACCGGGUCGCAGGUUCAAUCCCUGUCCCGCCUA
RNAcentral lists this transfer RNA (72 nucleotides) under Deltaproteobacteria bacterium. RNAcentral's name for it is "tRNA-Val". It matches the Rfam family "tRNA". From Rfam's summary of the family: Transfer RNA (tRNA) molecules are approximately 80 nucleotides in length. Their secondary structure includes four short double-helical elements and three loops (D, anti-codon, and T loops). The record is from RNAcentral. Lineage: Bacteria; Pseudomonadati; Myxococcota; Myxococcia. RNAcentral also lists the same sequence under 1 other name.